Molecule: long non-coding RNA, 2013 nt
Organism: Pygocentrus nattereri (red-bellied piranha)
Lineage: Eukaryota; Metazoa; Chordata; Actinopteri; Characiformes; Serrasalmidae
Source: Ensembl
GACAGAUGUCUUCAAAAACAACAAUAACAACAACAAUAAUAAUAACAACAAAGAGCAUUUAUAAACAAACAUGUUCCCUAUGAAGAGUUCUGAGCUCUCAGUACGGAAUAAGUAACUUACCUUUAAACCACUAACACUGCUUUACUCUCUUAUUCUGUUUUCAUUAUUAUUAUUAUUAUUAUUAUUAUUAAUGAUAUAAUUGUACACUGUGUAAUUUAAAGCGAGUAGAAAAGAAAGAAAGUAGCAGUAAAUUUUCUGUGAUCUUAGAUGGAACAGUAAGUCAGGCUGGAGGAGGAUUUCAAAGAGGCUUCACUUUUCUCACAAAGGAAAUCCUGAAACAGGAAGCAGCAGAAACAGCAGAGAAACAGUGAAAACAGAACCAUCACCAGUGUUUUUAACCAGUGUUUGGAAGCAGAGUUUGGAAGUUCACCUGGGUGUAUUCAGGGGAGGAGUACCAGUCAGUUUGACAGGUUCAACUUAUAGUAAACCACAAUCUGUAGAAGAUUUGGACCAGUUAAAAAAAAUAAAGCUAAAAGGUCUUACCCCAUGAGCUGAUUGAUGAUACCUAAUGCUGCUAUGACAACACAGGACAACCAUAAACCACAGACCCCAGUACAGGGCAGAGGACAGCGCUACUUUGGGCAUUCCAGGAGGAUUCCUGUUGUAGUCGAGCCAUGCAGUCCUGCAGUUCAGCUCUCUGUGUCCUGAUCUUACUGAUCACCACAUUCACUGCUGUGUAUGUGUCAGCUGUUCCUCUAGUGAAGGUGAAGCUUCAUGACUCUGCUACUCUGCCCUGCUCUGAGACAUGUUCUGGUUUGGUCAGAUGGACUGAGUUCCAUAAUCCCACUGAUGUUCUGGCUGAGUGUGAUCAGACUUCAUGUAGAUCAGUGAAGGAGGGAUAUCAGAUGAUCCAUGAUCAGUACCUGAAGGGAGAUCUCUCUCUCACCAUCACUGACGCUGAUUACAGUAUGAUGGGCACGUACACAUGUGAGUGCGGUAAUUCUGAACUCUGUGAUGUGCGGCUUCAGGUUGAGGAAACACCAGAGGCAGGGAACAAUAUUUCUGGCAGCAGUCAUACUAAAGGAACGUCCCACGUGUAUGUGUCAGCUGUUCCUCUAGUGAGGGUGAAGCUUCAUGACUCUGCUACUCUGCCCUGCUCUGAGACAUGUUCUGGUUUGGUCAGAUGGACUGAGUUCCAUAAUCCCACUGAUGUUCUGGCUGAGUGUGAUCAGACCUCAUGUAGAUCAGUGAAGGAGGGAUAUCAGAUGAUCCAUGAUCAGUACCUGAAGGGAGAUUUCUCUCUCACCAUCACUGACGCUGAUUACAGUAUGAUGGGCACGUACACAUGUGAGUGCGGUAAUUCUGAACUCUGUGAUGUGCGGCUUCAGGUUGAGGAAACACCAGAGGCAGGGAACAAUAUUUCUGGCAGCAGUCAUACUAAAGGAACGUCCCACGGUAAGAUCUGUCCAGUUACAAAACACUAGCAGGGCCAGUUCUAGCAUUUUUGGGAGGCCUAGGCAGGUUUUUUUUUUUUUUUUGUGGGGGGGGGGGGGCGGGGGUAUCUUGCUUGCUGAUGCACUGUAAAAGUGGAAGCUAACUCAUAACAACGAUUACCACCAGCUGUGUAAAUUACGUACAUUUGUAAGUAGCUAAUUGUGUAAUUCUGAUUACUGGAUGCUAGUUUGGGGUUUUAAUAUGUUACCAUUUAAAUUACAGCUAACCUUCUAAAGAUUUAGAGCCAGUAAUUCUCAGUCUGUAAACAGUUUUACAGCCCAUCUUGUUUGCUGAACUGUAUUCUAAUCGUGUUGUUGUCCACUUGCUCAGGAUCAGUACAGCAGGUUGGGAAUCUGGUGUGGUUCUGUGGCCACUUUUCUUCAGUAUCUGAUUAAACGGACCUAAUUUCAAAUACUAUCUCAUAAAAGUCAUCUAACGUGUCAGUUUUAUGUUUUUCAUUGUACUAAAGUGGAAACUUAGUAACCUAAUAAUUACCUGCAGCGUAAAGACACUUCAAAU